Topomyia yanbarensis is the source of this 535-nucleotide long non-coding RNA. RefSeq lists it as uncharacterized. The record is from RefSeq and is a predicted model, not a curated record. NCBI's taxonomy places the organism in Eukaryota, Metazoa, Arthropoda, Insecta, Diptera, Culicidae. The transcript is spliced from 3 exons.
UCCUGCGUACUGAAACCGUGCUACGCUAUAUGGGGAUUGUGUGAAAUACGGUAGAAUAGCCGGUAAACGAUUCGGCACGAGCCAAAAGUAACCUGAAGUUCAAAGUAUAUAGUACUCCUGCUCCAUUAAUCACUCCGGCGAUGUCAAAGCCGGAAACAUCCUGCUGACCGAACAAGGUGUGGACAGGUCAGCCGACUUGGAUAGUGCAGCUAUCAAAUGCCCUGCCAAUAGUUUUGUCGGAACACCUUACUGGAUGGCCCCGGAAGUGAUUCUGGCGAUGUAUGAAGGAUAGUAUGAUGGCAAGUUGGAUGUUUAGUCACUAGGAAUUACUUGUAUCGAGCUGGAGAAACGGAAUCAUUCCUACUUCAACAUGAAGGAAAUGUCGACGCUGUAUCACAUUGCGCAAAAUGAGGCGUCCACGUUGCAGGCUACGGACUGGAAAGAUGUGUUCAGCAGUUUUGUUUUUUGCUUGAAGAAACCUUCGGUAGAGUAACCAAACUCUAGUAAACUGUUAACUCAUUCAUUCAUAACUAGG